Molecule: transfer RNA, 73 nt
Filed under: Desmophyllum pertusum
Lineage: Eukaryota; Metazoa; Cnidaria; Anthozoa; Scleractinia; Caryophylliidae
Description: Lophelia pertusa tRNA
Rfam family: tRNA
About the family: Transfer RNA (tRNA) molecules are approximately 80 nucleotides in length.
Source: Rfam by way of RNAcentral
GGCUUCAUAGCUCAGUUUGUAGAGCAUCGUACCGGCAUCGCGGAGGUCAUGAGUUCAAAUCCCGUUGAAGCCC